This is a non-coding RNA of Xyrichtys novacula (pearly razorfish), 1005 nucleotides long. Lineage: Eukaryota; Metazoa; Chordata; Actinopteri; Labriformes; Labridae. The record is from the annotation of a GenBank genome assembly.
GUCCUGCCUGUCCGUCAGACGUGUCAUGAACAGCAGCGAUCUCUGCGGCCAGACUGUGCAGACGUCAGGAGGCUGGGGACACGGCGUCACCGCACAAACAGAGGACAGCGGGGACACGUUCACAUGGAGAUGGAGCGUACAUGUACGGCACAAACAUGCAGGUAAAAGUCACGAUGUUCAGGCUACUUUUGAGCAAAUACACAGCUCAUUUUGUCUUUUUUAAUGUAGAAGACUGAAUCUUGACUCUGUGUUUGCUUUACUGGCUGUAGAAGAAACAUGGAAUCCAAAGUGAGUCCCUGUCUGAAAAUGUCCCACGUCUUCAAUAAGUGAAGGAUGGUGCAGAUCUGAAGGAGGUGUCUGAGAGCUGCUGUCUGACUUGACCUCCACAAAAUAACCGAGUCUGAGUCCAUGACAGCGUUGGGCUUUAACUUCACAUCUCUCCCUCUGAUAACAACACAAGCUGAAGUCCUGAGACGAGGAGAUGAUACGUGACACAUCUGGGUUCAGAGUCUUGCAGCGUCUCUGCGGACCGUCUGGGGACACGCAGCUGCACACAGCAGAAACACAAACACGCACACAAGCUGCACAGAGGAAUGUCGGCACUAUAAUAAUCCACAAAGGACCAGAUCUGGACAAACAGAUUGAGCAGCAUGGGUCCAGGUCAAAGGUCAGAGAUUUGACCCAACAUCUCUAUUGUAAACUGUCAACUUUAGACUGUUCAGUUUAAUCCUGCUCUUAAUCCAGGCCUGCAGCAGGUCAGGCUCAGUCUUUGGAUUAUUUGAGUGAGGACUUGAUUCACUAGAGGAGAGACAUUUGUUUAUUUUCUUUGUCUUUAAGCUUAAAAUCAUCUGUUACCAACAACUUUAGAGAAACCUCUUUGAACCUCUUCUGACACUUAGUUUUGUAAAUAUUAAGUUUGAAAUCAACACAGUUUGAUCAUGAAAAUCUCCCAGUGUGUCUUUAAUGUCAAAACUAUUGCCUAUAAUAAAAGAAGCGUUAAAUUUC